CUGCCUUGCUUAGCCCACCUGUGAACAGUUCCGUGGCUGCAAGAGCUUACAGAAACCAGGCACUCCUGGAGUUUUCUGCUUUAAUCUGGAAGCUGAAGUUGGAGGAAACUCAAGAACUUGGGAUGGCAGGAGAAUGUAAUGUGGGGUUUCUUUGUGGCUGGUUGAAGAGAGCCUCCUUAGUUCACCAGGAGAUCUUUGGAAGUGGAAUGCUGGAAGUGUGGCUGCACUGAGGUCUCUGGGUGAUGCACACAGGAACUGGAAGCUGUGAGAGGAGGAUGGUGCUGGCUCAGCUACGCUGAAUUGGCUCCUUGUGACAAAACCCAGAAUCCCUGCUUGGAUGUGUGGGAGAAAUGAGUUUUCCCCCACUUCCCUGGCAGCUCUGUGUGAGCAGCAGGCGGACAAGCAAAACUGAACCGUCUGCAGUCCUGGAGAGCCUGGAUUUAGAAAGAUUUCCAGCAGUCAUCAGCAAAAGAAGAGCAAAAGCUUGCUGCUCGGAGCUCUGCUGUUCCUGAGCAGCUUUGCCGGUGGAAUUGUGGUGCUGGAAUGUUUGCGGCGAGAUGGAUGCAUGGGAGCAGAUAACAACACGUUCCAGCAGCUCCCUUCUCAUAAUCUGAAGUCCACAAACAACAGGCUUUAAGCUCAUCCCCUCUGUGGAUCUGUGAACAGCCCAUGGAUUCGAGGAGCUGUCGGAACACAGGGUGAGAAGUUUCCUUCUCCUGUGGAUCAGAAUGGCACCAGCUCCCAGGCGAGAAGAAAAAGCCUGAUGUAAAUGUGCCUCCCAAGCCUUUUGCUCAGAGAAUUUUGAUCUAUUCCCCAAUUCCCUUUCGUUUUUCCUGCCUUUGCUUCCCAAAAACAUACAUGAUCUGUCACAAUUUAUAACCUCUGGUUUAAGGAGGAUGGGGCAGACAAAUUCAUCUCUAUAAAAGCUUCUUUUUUUAUUGCACUUAAUGCGCACCUUUCGCCUUGUGUAAUGGAGCUUACAUUCUGGAAAAAAAUAACUUUGACAUCUUCCUAUUUUAUCUCUUCUUUCCCUUUGGCUGCAUGAGCAUCCCGCUCCAUCCAUGUGAGCCAGGCAGCACGGGAAGCUUCCCUUUCUCUCCAUCUCCCUUUCAGAUGCUGUUUUUCCCAGAUCUCUUCCUGGUGCCUGGCAUGUUUAGGUAUUGUCCAGCUGUGUAGAUUUCCUCAUUUCCUUCCCUUCUUUCAUAUCAGAGGUGUCAACACCUUGCAAAAUGCGCUAGAGUCACCAUGACUUCAAUGUUCCGGGGUUGUUUUGCUGGUGAGGAGCAUCCUGUAGAUGAUGAAAGGCGAUUUUUGGGUGAUUACUGUGACUCUUGACCUCCCUCCUAUGCCAGUCUGCUCCCAGCGCGUGCCC
Molecule: long non-coding RNA, 1372 nt
Filed under: Cyanistes caeruleus (blue tit)
Lineage: Eukaryota; Metazoa; Chordata; Aves; Passeriformes; Paridae
Description: lncRNA (ENSCCEG00000018941.1)
Source: RNAcentral